AGUGAACGCUGGCGGUAGGCCUAACACAUGCAAGUCGAACGGCAGCACAGUAAGAGCUUGCUCUUACGGGUGGCGAGUGGCGGACGGGUGAGGAAUACAUCGUAAUCUACUUUUUCGUGGGGGAUAACGUAGGGAAACUUACGCUAAUACCGCAUACGACCUACGGGUGAAAGCAGGGGAUCUUCGGACCUUGCGCGAUUGAAUGAGCCGAUGUCGGAUUAGCUAGUUGGCGGGGUAAAGGCCCACCAAGGCGACGAUCCGUAGCUGGUCUGAGAGGAUGGUAGGCCGCCCGAGAACUGAGACACGGUCCAGACUCCUACGGGAGGCAGCAGUGGGGAAUAUUGGACAAUGGGCGCAAGCCUGAUCCAGCCAUACCGCGUGGGUGAAGAAGGCCUUCGGGUUGUAAAGCCCUUUUGUUGGGAAAGAAAAGCAGCAGGUUAAUACCACGCUGUUCUGACGGUACCCAAAGAAUAAGCACCGGCUAACUUCGUG
Molecule: ribosomal RNA, 492 nt
Filed under: uncultured bacterium
Lineage: Bacteria
Description: partial 16S ribosomal RNA
Rfam family: Bacterial small subunit ribosomal RNA
Source: RNAcentral